RNAcentral lists this ribosomal RNA (1310 nucleotides) under Salmonella enterica subsp. enterica serovar Goldcoast. RNAcentral's name for it is "partial 23S ribosomal RNA". It matches the Rfam family "Bacterial large subunit ribosomal RNA", at positions 1 to 1341 of the family's 2925-position model. The record is from RNAcentral. Lineage: Bacteria; Pseudomonadati; Pseudomonadota; Gammaproteobacteria; Enterobacterales; Enterobacteriaceae.
GGGUUGUGAGGUUAAGCGACUAAGCGUACACGGUGGAUGCCCUGGCAGUCAGAGGCGAUGAAGGGCGUGCUAAUCUGCGAUAAGCGCCGGUAAGGUGAUAUGAACCGUUAUAACCGGCGAUACCCGAAUGGGGAAACCCAGUGUGACUCGUCACACUAUCAUUAACUGAAUCCAUAGGUUAAUGAGGCGAACCGGGGGAACUGAAACAUCUAAGUACCCCGAGGAAAAGAAAUCAACCGAGAUUCCCCCAGUAGCGGCGAGCGAACGGGGAGGAGCCCAGAGCCUGAAUCAGCAUGUGUGUUAGUGGAAGCGUCUGGAAAGGCGCGCGAUACAGGGUGACAGCCCCGUACACAAAAGCGCAUGUGCUGUGAGCUCGAUGAGUAGGGCGGGACACGUGGUAUCCUGUCUGAAUAUGGGGGGACCAUCCUCCAAGGCUAAAUACUCCUGACUGACCGAUAGUGAACCAGUACCGUGAGGGAAAGGCGAAAAGAACCCCGGCGAGGGGAGUGAAAAAGAACCUGAAACCGUGUACGUACAAGCAGUGGGAGCACCCUUUGGGGUGUGACUGCGUACCUUUUGUAUAAUGGGUCAGCGACUUAUAUUCUGUAGCAAGGUUAACCGAAUAGGGGAGCCGCAGGGAAACCGAGUCUUAAUUGGGCGUUAAGUUGCAGGGUAUAGACCCGAAACCCGGUGAUCUAGCCAUGGGCAGGUUGAAGGUUGGGUAACACUAACUGGAGGACCGAACCGACUAAUGUUGAAAAAUUAGCGGAUGACCUGUGGCUGGGGGUGAAAGGCCAAUCAAACCGGGAGAUAGCUGGUUCUCCCCGAAAGCUAUUUAGGUAGCGCCUCGUGAAUUCAUCUCCGGGGGUAGAGCACUGUUUCGGCUAGGGGGCCAUCCCGGCUUACCAACCCGAUGCAAACUGCGAAUACCGGAGAAUGUUAUCACGGGAGACACACGGCGGGUGCUAACGUCCGUCGUGAAGAGGGAAACAACCCAGACCGCCAGCUAAGGUCCCAAAGUCAUGGUUAAGUGGGAAACGAUGUGGGAAGGCCCAGACAGCCAGGAUGUUGGCUUAGAAGCAGCCAUCAUUUAAAGAAAGCGUAAUAGCUCACUGGUCGAGUCGGCCUGCGCGGAAGAUGUAACGGGGCUAAACCAUGCACCGAAGCUGCGGCAGCGACGCUUAUGCGUUGUUGGGUAGGGGAGCGUUCUGUAAGCCUGCGAAGGUGGCCUGUGAGGGUUGCUGGAGGUAUCAGAAGUGCGAAUGCUGACAUAAGUAACGAUAAAGCGGGUGAAAAGCCCGCUCGCCGGA